AGGGAAACCGAGUCUUAACUGGGCGUUAAGUUGCAGGGUAUAGACCCGAAACCCGGUGAUCUAGCCAUGGGCAGGUUGAAGGUUGGGUAACACUAACUGGAGGACCGAACCGACUAAUGUUGAAAAAUUAGCGGAUGACUUGUGGCUGGGGGUGAAAGGCCAAUCAAACCGGGAGAUAGCUGGUUCUCCCCGAAAGCUAUUUAGGUAGCGCCUCGUGAACUCAUCUUCGGGGGUAGAGCACUGUUUCGGCUAGGGGGUCAUCCCGACUUACCAACCCGAUGCAAACUGCGAAUACCGAAGAAUGUUAUCACGGGAGACACACGGCGGGUGCUAACGUCCGUCGUGAAGAGGGAAACAACCCAGACCGCCAGCUAAGGUCCCAAAGUCACAGUUAAGUGGGAAACGAUGUGGGAAGGCUCAGACAGCCAGGAUGUUGGCUUAGAAGCAGCCAUCAUUUAAAGAAAGCGUAAUAGCUCACUGGUCGAGUCGGCCUGCGCGGAAGAUGUAACGGGGCUAAACUGUGCACCGAAGCUGCGGCAGCGACGCUUAUGCGUUGUUGGGUAGGGGAGCGUUCUGUAAGCCUGCGAAGGUGUCCUGUGAGGGAUGCUGGAGGUAUCAGAAGUGCGAAUGCUGACAUAAGUAACGAUAAUGCGGGUGAAAAGCCCGCUCGCCGGAAGACCAAGGGUUCCUGUCCAACGUUAAUCGGGGCAGGGUGAGUCGACCCCUAAGGCGAGGCCGAAAGGCGUAGUCGAUGGGAAACGGGUUAAUAUUCCCGUACUUGGUGUUACUGCGAAGGGGGGACGGAGAAGGCUAUGUUGGCCGGGCGACGGUUGUCCCGGUUUAAGCGUGUAGGCUGGUUU
This 860-nucleotide ribosomal RNA is filed under the name Salmonella enterica subsp. enterica serovar Kentucky. Its description in RNAcentral is "partial 23S ribosomal RNA". It matches the Rfam family "Bacterial large subunit ribosomal RNA", at positions 670 to 1531 of the family's 2925-position model. Lineage: Bacteria; Pseudomonadati; Pseudomonadota; Gammaproteobacteria; Enterobacterales; Enterobacteriaceae. The record is from RNAcentral.